UUUAUGGAGAGUUUGAUCCUGGCUCAGGAUGAACGCUGGCGGCAUGCCUAAUACAUGCAAGUCGAGCGAACGGACGAGAAGCUUGCUUCUCUGAUGUUAGCGGCGGACGGGUGAGUAACACGUGGAUAACCUACCUAUAAGACUGGGAUAACUUCGGGAAACCGGAGCUAA
RNAcentral lists this ribosomal RNA (171 nucleotides) under Staphylococcus aureus. RNAcentral describes it as "partial 16S ribosomal RNA". It matches the Rfam family "Bacterial small subunit ribosomal RNA", at positions 1 to 166 of the family's 1533-position model. The record is from RNAcentral. Lineage: Bacteria; Bacillati; Bacillota; Bacilli; Caryophanales; Staphylococcaceae.